RNAcentral lists this ribosomal RNA (162 nucleotides) under uncultured bacterium. RNAcentral's name for it is "partial 16S ribosomal RNA". It matches the Rfam family "Bacterial small subunit ribosomal RNA", at positions 360 to 538 of the family's 1533-position model. The record is from RNAcentral.
AAUAUUGGACAAUGGGGGCAAGCCUGAUCCAGCCAUGCCGCGUGGGGGAUGAAGGCCUUCGGGUUGUAAACCCCUUUUACCCGGGACGAUAAUGACGGUACCCGGAGAAUAAGCCCCGGCUAACUUCUUGCCAACAGCCGCGGUAUUUUUUUUAUGGCGGGG